This is a non-coding RNA of Lentinula lateritia, 95 nucleotides long. NCBI's taxonomy places the organism in Eukaryota, Fungi, Basidiomycota, Agaricomycetes, Agaricales, Omphalotaceae. The record is from the annotation of a GenBank genome assembly.
GGUUCGAUGGCGUAGUUGGUUAUCGCAUCUGUCUAACAUCCUGCUGCGCGCCAAUGCUUCACAGAAGGUCCCCGGUUCGAGCCCGGGUCGAAUCA